CUUUGCGGAUCACGUUAUGUGACAUAUCAUUCAAGUUUCUGACCUAUCAGCUUUAGACGGUAGGGUAUUGGCCUACCGUGGCUAUGACGGGUAACGGGGAAUUAGGGUUCGAUUCCGGAGAGGGAGCCUGAGAAACGGCUACCACAUCUAAGGAAGGCAGCAGGCGCGCAAAUUACCCAAUCCUAAUACAGGGAGGUAGUGACAAGAAAUAACAAUACAGAACCUCACGGUUUUGUAAUUGGAAUGAGUUAAGUAUAAACCCCUUAACGAGUAUCAAUUGGAGGGCAAGUCUGGUGCCAGCAGCCGCGGUAAUUCCAGCUCCAAUAGCGUAUAUUAAAGUUGUUGCAGUUAAAAAGCUCGUAGUUGAUUUUCUGUUAAUUUUUAUGUAUAAUAUUGCGAUAUUUACAUAAUAUUAACAUAAUUCACAUUACUUUACAGUAUGUGGAAUUUUACUUUGAGAAAAUUAGAGUGCUUAAAGCAGGCUAUUGCCUUGAAUACUCCAGCAUGGAAUAAUAUUAAGGAUUUUUAUUCUUCUUAUUGGUUCUAGAAUAAAAAUAAUGAUUAAUAGGAACAGUUGGGGGCAUUUGUAUUUAACA
Molecule: ribosomal RNA, 596 nt
Filed under: Cryptosporidium sp. Eire V zz67
Lineage: Eukaryota; Apicomplexa; Conoidasida; Eucoccidiorida; Cryptosporidiidae
Description: SSU rRNA
Rfam family: Eukaryotic small subunit ribosomal RNA
Source: RNAcentral